Molecule: long non-coding RNA, 218 nt
Filed under: Prunus persica (peach)
Lineage: Eukaryota; Viridiplantae; Streptophyta; Magnoliopsida; Rosales; Rosaceae
Description: long non-coding RNA (PPER_LNC003202)
Source: RNAcentral
UGUUAUUGAUUUGGACGACAGGGGGAAAUUGAGAAUAAAAUUUAGUUUGAGUCCUUAAUUUUUUUUAAAAAGGUCAUGGGGUAAAUUAAUAAUUAGGUACAAGUUCGAGAGGCAUUUCGGCAGUUUACCCUAAUAUCUAUAAAGUACAAACUAAUGCAACUAGAAGAGUCCUUUUUUAUUAUUAAUUUUUUAAUUAAAUAAUAUAGCUAGGCGGCCAU